UAGGGAAUCUUCGGCAAUGGACGAAAGUCUGACCGAGCAACGCCGCGUGAGUGAAGAAGGUUUUCGGAUCGUAAAACUCUGUUGUUAGAGAAGAACAAGGACGUUAGUAACUGAACGUCCCCUGACGGUAUCUAACCAGAAAGCCACGGCUAACUACGUGCCAGCAGCCGCGGUAAUACGUAGGUGGCAAGCGUUGUCCGGAUUUAUUGGGCGUAAAGCGAGCGCAGGCGGUUUCUUAAGUCUGAUGUGAAAGCCCCCGGCUCAACCGGGGAGGGUCAUUGGAAACUGGGAGACUUGAGUGCAGAAGAGGAGAGUGGAAUUCCAUGUGUAGCGGUGAAAUGCGUAGAUAUAUGGAGGAACAACAGUGGCGAAGGCGGCUCUCUGGUCUGUAACGGACGCUGAGGCUCGAAAGCGUGGGGAGCAAACAGG
This 429-nucleotide ribosomal RNA is filed under the name Gemmatimonadota bacterium. RNAcentral describes it as "Gemmatimonadetes bacterium partial 16S ribosomal RNA". It matches the Rfam family "Bacterial small subunit ribosomal RNA", at positions 355 to 776 of the family's 1533-position model. The record is from RNAcentral. Lineage: Bacteria; Pseudomonadati; Gemmatimonadota.